This 72-nucleotide transfer RNA is filed under the name Halorubrum sp. C3. Its description in RNAcentral is "tRNA-Phe". It matches the Rfam family "tRNA". Rfam says of the family: Transfer RNA (tRNA) molecules are approximately 80 nucleotides in length. Their secondary structure includes four short double-helical elements and three loops (D, anti-codon, and T loops). The record is from RNAcentral. Lineage: Archaea; Methanobacteriati; Methanobacteriota; Halobacteria; Halobacteriales; Haloferacaceae.
GGAUCGAUAGCUCAGUGGGAGAGCACGACGCUGAAGACGUCGCGUGCCUCGGUUCGAAUCCGAGUCGAUCCA